RNAcentral lists this ribosomal RNA (468 nucleotides) under uncultured bacterium. Its description in RNAcentral is "partial 16S ribosomal RNA". It matches the Rfam family "Bacterial small subunit ribosomal RNA", at positions 28 to 507 of the family's 1533-position model. The record is from RNAcentral.
GACGAACGCUGGCGGCAUGCUUAACACAUGCAAGUCGAACGGAAAGGCCCUGCUUUUGUGGGGUGCUCGAGUGGCGAACGGGUGAGUAACACGUGAGUAACCUGCCCUUGACUUUGGGAUAACUUCAGGAAACUGGAGCUAAUCCCGUAUAGGAGAUCCUGCGCCAGGGUGGGGGUUGGAAAGUUUGGGCGGUUGGGGAUGGACUCGCGGCUUAUCAGCUUGUUGGUGGGGUAGUGGCUUACCAAGGCUUUGACGGGUAGCCGGCCUGAGAGGGUGACCGGCCACAUUGGGACUGAGAGACGGACCAGACUCGUACGGGAGGCAGCAGUGGGGAAUAUUGCACAAUGGGCGGAAGCCUGAUGCAGCAACGCCGCGUGCGGGAAGACGGCCUGCGGGUUGUAAACCGCUUUCGCCUGAGACGAAGCGUGAGUGACGGUAAUGGGUAAAGAAGCACCGGCUAACUACGUG